CCUACGGGAGGCAGCAGUGAGGAAUAUUGGUCAAUGGGCGCGAGCCUGAACCAGCCAAGUAGCGUGAAGGAUGAAUGCCCUACGGGUUGUAAACUUCGGUUAUAAAGGAAUAAAGUGAGGCACGUGUGCCUUUUUGUGUGUACUUUAUGAAUAAGGAUCGGAUAACUCCGUGCCAGCAGCCGCGGUAAUACGGAGGAUCCGAGCGUUAGCCGGAUUUAUUGGGUUUAAAGGGAGAGUAGAUGGGUUGUUCAGUCAGUUGUGAAAGUUUGCGGCUCAACCGUGAAAUUGCCAUUGAUACUGUCAGCCUUGAGUACAGUUGAGGUAGGCGGAAUUCGUGGUGUCGCGGUGAAAUGCUUAGAUAUCACGAAGAACUCCGAUUGCGAAGGCAGCUUACUAAACUGCCACUGACAUUGAUGCUCGAAAGUGUGGGUAUCAAACAGGAUUAGAUACCCCAGUAGUC
This 460-nucleotide ribosomal RNA is filed under the name uncultured bacterium. RNAcentral's name for it is "partial 16S ribosomal RNA". It matches the Rfam family "Bacterial small subunit ribosomal RNA", at positions 338 to 795 of the family's 1533-position model. The record is from RNAcentral.